GGGCGUAAGUGUGCGCAGGCGGUUCUGUAAGUCAGAUGUGAAAUCCCCGGGCUUAACCUGGGAACUGCGUUUGAAACUGCAGAGCUAGAGUGCGGCAGAGGGAGGUGGAAUUCCAUGUGUAGCAGUGAAAUGCGUAGAGAUAUGGAAGAACAUCGAUGGCGAAGGCAACCUCCUGGGCUAGCACUGACGCUCAUGCACGAAAAGCGUGGGGAGCAAACAGGAUUAGAUACCCUAGGUAGUCCACGCCCUAAACUAUGUCAACUAGUUUGUCGGGUCUUAAUAGACUUGGUAACGUAGUCUAACGACGUGAAGUUGUACCGCCUGGGGAGUACGGUCGACAAGAUUAAAAACU
This 352-nucleotide ribosomal RNA is filed under the name uncultured bacterium. RNAcentral's name for it is "bacterial SSU rRNA". It matches the Rfam family "Bacterial small subunit ribosomal RNA", at positions 556 to 901 of the family's 1533-position model. The record is from RNAcentral.